Long non-coding RNA from Rhagoletis pomonella (apple maggot), 2175 nucleotides. RefSeq lists it as uncharacterized. Lineage: Eukaryota; Metazoa; Arthropoda; Insecta; Diptera; Tephritidae. The record is from RefSeq and is a predicted model, not a curated record. The transcript has 3 exons.
UUUGCUGUCAAAAAUUGGAUUUGCUCCUCUUAGCUUAAUCUUUAUCCAUUCGUCCUGAAAUAUACUGGCCAAGUAUGCUAUUGAUUUUUACAAAAGAACCCCAUUUGGAUUUAUGAGUGUUUUUACUCUCUAGAAGAUAAUUUACAUAAUUCACAUACGUGGUUUUGCAUUAUCUUGAUACGCGGUUUUGCAUUUGGUUGAUACGCGGCACUGUGGGCUAAAUUACAUAUUUUCAUCUAUUUUUUAUGUAUGUAUAAUUUAAAUAUGAUUUGAAGUCCAGAUAAUACAUAUUAAAGUGAAAUACUUAAAAUAAUGCAAAGUACACUUCUCCUUGACUCCCACUGUAUGUACUUAUUGUGACUUUUUUUUUUAAUUUUAUAUCUCUUCAACUCGCGUAAAUACAAACACCUACAUACAUAUACAUAUACCCUGCAGGAAAACCGCGAACUAGUGAAUCAAAUUUCUAGUUCCGUACUAGAAGAUCUUUAUCGCCAAACACGAACCAUUCCGAUAAUAACCAGAUCCUCACCAGUUCAAAAUCAACGAAAUGUGGUUACGAAUUUAGUACUGAUUCGGAACUAUAGAAAAAAAGGGGCGCAGAACGAACAAGAUAUUAUAUGUCGAACUUAGAACUGAUUCAGAACUAACGAAACAGGGAUGCAUCGGGGGACUUGUUUACUUUAAAUAGAUAUGUAUUUGGUGGCUUUAUCGUUCAAAUACGCUUCCAUUCUGACCAAUCUAACCAAUAACCAAUAACAGAAAGCCCCUCUGCAAUCUCAGCUACAGCCAAAGAACUGGUUCGGAACUAUCGAAAGGGAUGCAGCGGGGGACAAUUGACACUUCCGAGGACAUCGCCAUGUUAAAUUCGCCGGUUGUUUGCAUGAAAAAGAGGUUUAUCGCCAGUACUGGGUAUAAAUGUACUAGAUGCGCCCAAGUUCAGAACUAGAGAUUUUCCCCACAGGGUAUGUACGCGAUAGUGCGGCGCUCACCAAUGGCAUGAUCUGCGGCAUGUAUGCUUAAUAAGCAAGGUACAAAAGAAGAUACGUGAUGCAGUGAUUUCGAAACAUUUUAUCAUAUUAAAGGUUGUACCAAUGCAAACAUUUGUAAAUAAGUAGCAGAAUGUUCGGUAUUUUUGAAUGACUAGUUCAAUUUUUGAUGAACAUUUUUUUAAUUAAAGAAGCAUUCAAUUAAUUUAAAAUGUUAAGAAAAUUUAAUGCAUAUAAAGCAAUCCUUUCCGAAUAUGUGCUCGCAAGUAAAAGCAUGCGAAUACCGCAGGGUAUCCCGAUAAGCUGUAAAAGGCUCGAAAUCUUCGAACAUCUGAAAACUUUGAUGAAGAUCUCAGAAUUUGUACGAAAUAUUGUUUUAGUUUCGAGUUUUUCAAGUCUUAUUUUUAUUUCAACACAAUGUUAACCUUCUAAACCCAUUUAAGUUGUUUUAUCAAAAUGUCACAGUUUCGACCGGAACUGGGUCAAACGGACCGGAAGUCCGUUCUUUUAACCGGAAUUCCAAUCCAGAAAAGGGUUUCCGAGUACGUAUUUUUGUCCGCAGAAUCCAAAUCUUUUAUAAAAACAUGUAUGUCUCGUUUAAAAAGAUUGACUUCCGACUCGAUAAUUCAUAUUUUUGCGUUUUCCAAUAAAAAAAAAACAUCCAGGAAGUGUUCUUCUCAUUUAGAGGGUGAAAAAGGCACAUCCGGGAAAAAAUUUUUGAACAAAAGUUACUUAUUUUCGCCCCCAAAUUCCGAACAUGUAAUAAAAAUAUAUAUAUCCUAUAUAAAAGGAUAGACUUCCGGUCUUUUUAACCCACUUCCGGUGGAAGUCCCAGUUACCAGCCCUUGGUAAUUGAUAUUUUUGCGUUUUCCAAUAAAAAAAAACCCUGUAUACCCGUAAAAAGAAACACCACUUAGCAGCUUGUUACUUCUUCUACGUUUCUCAUUUAUAAAAUGUAUAAUAUUUGCGUUACACUGUUUUAAAAAUUAAAUUAUAUUUUUCAUUAAAUUUUUAGAAAGCUAUUGCUUGAAGAAAAGUCUUUCGUAUGGAAACGGUCAAUUAUGGUAAUUAUCUUGAAGCCUCUUUUGUGUCUUUAGAAAGACUAAUAAAUAGAAGGUGUUAGCAUUAUUCUGUUUGCCAUUUAGCAAUAAAUUAUCUGAAAAUUAAACGAAAUUUAAAAAAAAUAUUU